GCAAUCCUUAAAAUAAAAUUGAGAUGUUUGUUACUGAAGUAUGAGCAAGAUUUGUUCUACAACGUGUACCGCCUAUAUAAGGAUAGGUAGAAAACCAAGCGCAGGCAUGCAACUGGUGCGGAGGCGUGGGCCAUUGGUCAAGUGGGUGCAGGAAUCUCAGAAAUUUUCUCUGUAGGAUGUGCAGCGCAAUAGGGUUGCAGGAUUAUCAGGAGACGAUCAGCAGUUGGCUGCGGUCAUCAAGGUCGGAAGAGCAGAAAUUAAGGCCAUGAUAGACGGAUAUCGAAAAAGCUAGCGGAGAACCCGGGAGUCGCCGGUGAGCGAGUAUCAACAAGGAGACUGGUAAAGUUGGCCAAUGGGAGCCACACAGAAGCUUGAAUGCUACUCCAGACGACGGUAAGCUUUGGCAACAAGGAAAACAAUUGAACAUGUUAGUGUUGCCAGACAUGGGAGACAGCGCGGUGGAAUUUCCUCGCAGGAUUUGGCAUAACAAUAACAUGCGCAGGCCACCAAGUCACGAUCUCCAGAAGAGAGAGAUGGAGCGGAUGCCUGGAAGAUAGGCUGUCGAUAGCUAUAACUGGAUCCUCGGAGAAAUGGAAGAGCGAGCGGGACAAAAAGUAUAUUGAGGAGCUAGUGGCGUUCAUGAAGGACGACAUCCCCAUAAAACAAAGAUAAUAUCCGAAGAACCCCAAAAUACAGGGGGAUCAAUGCAAAGGUAGGAAAGCUGCUGGAUGGAAGGGAUGCAUCGAGCCUUUGAAUAGCGCUUAUAGCUCACCCAUCGUUAUGAUAAAGAAAAAGACGGGUGUAGCAUGAUUAGAUAAAAAUAGAUAUAUUAAUAACGAAAACAAACUGACGUCUAGUAUAAGUUAACAUAGGGCGGAGAGA
Long non-coding RNA from Drosophila ananassae, 882 nucleotides. RefSeq lists it as uncharacterized. The transcript is spliced from 3 exons. The record is from RefSeq and is a predicted model, not a curated record. Lineage: Eukaryota; Metazoa; Arthropoda; Insecta; Diptera; Drosophilidae.